GAUUUACUUCGGUAAUGACGUUAGGAAAGCGAGCGGCGGAUGGGUGAGUAACACGUGGGGAAUCUGCCCCAUAGUCUGGGAUACCACUUGGAAACAGGUGCUAAUACCGGAUAAGAAAGCAGAUCGCAUGAUCAGCUUUUAAAAGGCGGCGUAAGCUGUCGCUAUGGGAUGGCCCCGCGGUGCAUUAGCUAGUUGGUAAGGUAAAGGCUUACCAAGGCGAUGAUGCAUAGCCGAGUUGAGAGACUGAUCGGCCACAUUGGGACUGAGACACGGCCCAAACUCCUACGGGAGGCAGCAGUAGGGAAUCUUCCACAAUGGACGCAAGUCUGAUGGAGCAACGCCGCGUGAGUGAAGAAGGUUUUCGGAUCGUAAAGCUCUGUUGUUGGUGAAGAAGGAUAGAGGUAGUAACUGGCCUUUAUUUGACGGUAAUCAACCAGAAAGUCACGGCUAACUACGUGCCAGCAGCCGCGGUAAUACGUAGGUGGCAAGCGUUGUCCGGAUUUAUUGGGCGUAAAGCGAGCGCAGGCGGAAGAAUAAGUCUGAUGUGAAAGCCCUCGGCUUAACCGAGGAACUGCAUCGGAAACUGUUUUUCUUGAGUGCAGAAGAGGAGAGUGGAACUCCAUGUGUAGCGGUGGAAUGCGUAGAUAUAUGGAAGAACACCAGUGGCGAAGGCGGCUCUCUGGUCUGCAACUGACGCUGAGGCUCGAAAGCAUGGGUAGCGAACAGGAUUAGAUACCCUGGUAGUCCAUGCCGUANACGAUGAGUGCUAAGUGUUGGGAGGUUUCCGCCUCUCAGUGCUGCAGCUAACGCAUUAAGCACUCCG
This 823-nucleotide ribosomal RNA is filed under the name uncultured bacterium. Its description in RNAcentral is "bacterial SSU rRNA". It matches the Rfam family "Bacterial small subunit ribosomal RNA", at positions 68 to 871 of the family's 1533-position model. The record is from RNAcentral.